AGGUUUGGCAUGGGCGAAAGCCUGAUCAGCCUGCCGCGUGUGUGAAGAAGGUCUUCGGAUUGUAAAGCACUUUAAGUUGGGAGGAAGGGCAUUAACCUAAUACGUUAGUGUUUUGACGUUACCGACAGAAUAAGCACCGGCUAACUCUGUGCCAGCAGCCGCGGUAAUACAGAGGGUGCAAGCGUUAAUCGGAAUUACUGGGCGUAAAGCGCGCGUAGGUGGUUUGUUAAGUUGAAUGUGAAAUCCCCGGGCUCAACCUGGGAACUGCAUCCAAAACUGGCAAGCUAGAGUAUGGUAGAGGGUAGUGGAAUUUCCUGUGUAGCGGUGAAAUGCGUAGAUAUAGGAAGGAACACCAGUGGCGAAGGCGACUACCUGGACUGAUACUGACACUGAGGUGCGAAAGCGUGGG
Molecule: ribosomal RNA, 409 nt
Filed under: uncultured bacterium
Lineage: Bacteria
Description: bacterial SSU rRNA
Rfam family: Bacterial small subunit ribosomal RNA
Source: RNAcentral